Molecule: ribosomal RNA, 664 nt
Filed under: uncultured fungus
Lineage: Eukaryota; Fungi
Description: eukaryotic LSU rRNA
Rfam family: Eukaryotic large subunit ribosomal RNA
Source: RNAcentral
CCCGCUGAACUUAAGCAUAUCAAUAAGCGGAGGAAAAGAAACUAACAAGGAUUCCCCUAGUAACUGCGAGUGAACCGGGAAAAGCUCAAAUUUUGAAUCUGGCGGUCCUUCGGGCCGUCCGAGUUGUAAUCUAGAGAAGCGUCUUCCGCGCUGGACCGUGUAUAAGUUUCCUGGAAUGGAACGUCGUAGAGGGUGACAAUCCCGUCUUUGACACGGACUCCCAGGGCUUUGUGAUGCGCUCUCGACGAGUCGAGUUGUUUGGGAAUGCAGCUCAAAUAGGGUGGUAAAUUCCAUCUAAAGCUAAAUACAGGCGAGAGACCGAUAGCGAACAAGUACCGUGAGGGAAAGAUGAAAAGAACUUUGGAAAGAGAGUUAAACAGUACGUGAAAUCGCUGAAAGGGAAACGCUUGAUGUCAGUCGCAUCUGCUGGGACUCAGCCUUGCAUUUUUUGCUUGGUGCACUUUCCGGUUUGAUGGGCCAGCAUCGAUUUUGACCGUUGGAAAAAGGUAGAGGGAAUGUGGCACCUUCGGGUGUGUUAUAGACCUCUGUUGUAUACGACGGUUGGGAUCGAGGACCGCAGCACGCCUUUAUUGGCCGGGGUUCGCCCACGUACGUGCUUAGGAUGCUGGCGUAAUGGCUUUAAGCGACCCGUCUUGAAACACGG